UACGUAGGGUGCGAGCGUUAAUCGGAAUUACUGGGCGUAAAGCGUGCGCAGGCGGUUUUGUAAGCCAGAUGUGAAAUCCCCGGGCUUAACCUGGGAAUGGCAUUUGGGACUGCAAGGCUGGAGUGUGGCAGAGGAGACUGGAAUUCCUGGUGUAGCAGUGAAAUGCGUAGAUAUCAGGAGGAAUACCGAUGGCGAAGGCAGGUCUCUGGGCUAACACUGACGCUGAGUGCGCGAAAGCCAGGGGAGCAAACGGG
This 254-nucleotide ribosomal RNA is filed under the name uncultured bacterium. RNAcentral's name for it is "partial 16S ribosomal RNA". It matches the Rfam family "Bacterial small subunit ribosomal RNA", at positions 524 to 776 of the family's 1533-position model. The record is from RNAcentral.